GGAUUCUAGCUUAGUGGUAAAACACUUACCUGGCAUGAGUGAGAUCCUGGGUUCAAUCCUCAGGACCA
This 68-nucleotide transfer RNA is filed under the name Marmota monax (woodchuck). Its description in RNAcentral is "tRNA.Ala". Lineage: Eukaryota; Metazoa; Chordata; Mammalia; Rodentia; Sciuridae. The record is from RNAcentral.